GAGAGAGAGAGACGGGGGAGGGCAGGAGGGACAGAGUCAGGGGAAACAGAGACAGGCAGAGACCGAGGGUCCUCAGAGACAGCUCUGCUGAGGCCUCAGCUCAGAGCAAGGUGGGGCCGCCCUCACCAGCCUCCUUCUCUCCAGGACAGCUCCCGGGCACGCCCUCCCUCUCGGUGCAGCCUGGACCCUUGGUGUCCUCAGGAGAGGAUGGGACCCUGCUGUGUCAGUCCUGGAGCCCGAUGGACACUUUCCUUCUGUCCAAGGAGGAAGCAGGAGCAGUGGAGACCCUCAGCCCAUCACAAAGCCAGUCACACUCCAAACCUGGUGAGCAAGAGAAUUCUCAAUUAUGGAGCUGGAUCUACAAGGUGAAAUCCUCUUCAGGGCAGAUAAGGAAAUUGAUGAAGAAAUUCUCCACAAGGAAAAACAAAAAGUCUGAAGAGAUGUGUUGUGUGGCUUCCUCCGGCUGAAGACAGGAGAAUUCCACUCUCCAUUGUAUUGUCUGCUUUGUGCUCUCAUCUAUGGAGCAGCUCUUCUUUGUUAAAAGUGAAAGAUCAUGAUGCAAGCAGAAGGUAAACUUCUCUAGUACUGUCGACAAUGAAAGGCUUCAACAGACUAUAGUAAAGUGCUGUAUAUAAGAAUAGGAGUUGUUCAUAACAUGACAAAUAAAAAUAUAUGAAAGCCUCUGAGAAGUUAAAUGCACCAUGAUUCUCUCUAAAAGAUGAAACCCUGAGAAACAGCACCAAAUUUGC
This 749-nucleotide long non-coding RNA is filed under the name Chinchilla lanigera (long-tailed chinchilla). RNAcentral's name for it is "lncRNA (ENSCLAG00000028975.1)". Lineage: Eukaryota; Metazoa; Chordata; Mammalia; Rodentia; Chinchillidae. The record is from RNAcentral.